UACGUAGGGUGCGAGCGUUGUCCGGAAUUACUGGGCGUAAAGAGCUCGUAGGUGGUUUGUCGCGUUGUUCGUGAAAACUCACAACUCAAUUGUGGGCGUGCGGGCGAUACGGGCAGACUGGAGUACUGCAGGGGAAACUGGAAUUCCUGGUGUAGCGGUGGAAUGCGCAGAUAUCAGGAGGAACACCGGUGGCGAAGGCGGGUCUCUGGGCAGUAACUGACGCUGAGGAGCGAAAGCGUGGGGAGCGAACAGG
RNAcentral lists this ribosomal RNA (253 nucleotides) under uncultured bacterium. RNAcentral describes it as "partial 16S ribosomal RNA". It matches the Rfam family "Bacterial small subunit ribosomal RNA", at positions 524 to 776 of the family's 1533-position model. The record is from RNAcentral.